AACUUUUGACAAUGGAUCUCUUGGCUCCUGCAACGAUGAAGAACGCAGUGAAAAGCGAAACGUGAUGCGAUUUGCGGCACCUGUGAGUCAUCGAGUCUUUGAACGCACCUGGCACCGGGAGGAUGAUUCCCGGUACACCUGUUUGAGCAAAGGUUAGGAUAAGUGGUUAGAAUAGAGCGGUCUAUUUUGACUGAAAUGGAUGGUGAGUGUGGGUUGCACAGUGUGACGGCAGGACUUGUCUUGACAGCACGGGUGAUCCACUUCAACUCACCCAAACAACAUUAUUCUCAAAUCAGGCGAGAACACCCGCUGGACUUAAGCAUAUCAAUAAGCGGAGGCU
This 340-nucleotide unclassified non-coding RNA is filed under the name uncultured Agaricomycetes. RNAcentral's name for it is "sequence contains ITS2". The stretch from base 1 to 152 matches the Rfam family "5.8S ribosomal RNA". The record is from RNAcentral. Lineage: Eukaryota; Fungi; Basidiomycota; Agaricomycetes.